GGCAGUGUGGCUCAGUAGUACAGCACUUGCCCAGCAAGCACGAAGCCCUAGGUUUGAUCCCUAGCACUGCAA
RNAcentral lists this transfer RNA (72 nucleotides) under Cavia porcellus (domestic guinea pig). It matches the Rfam family "tRNA". From Rfam's summary of the family: Transfer RNA (tRNA) molecules are approximately 80 nucleotides in length. Their secondary structure includes four short double-helical elements and three loops (D, anti-codon, and T loops). Further hydrogen bonds mediate the characteristic L-shaped molecular structure. tRNAs have two regions of fundamental functional importance: the anti-codon, which is responsible for specific mRNA codon recognition, and the 3' end, to which the tRNAs corresponding amino acid is attached (by aminoacyl-tRNA synthetases). tRNAs cope with the degeneracy of the genetic code in two manners: having more than one tRNA (with a specific anti-codon) for a particular amino acid; and 'wobble' base-pairing, i.e. permitting non-standard base-pairing at the 3rd anti-codon position. The record is from Rfam by way of RNAcentral. Lineage: Eukaryota; Metazoa; Chordata; Mammalia; Rodentia; Caviidae.